Molecule: long non-coding RNA, 272 nt
Filed under: Mytilus galloprovincialis (Mediterranean mussel)
Lineage: Eukaryota; Metazoa; Mollusca; Bivalvia; Mytilida; Mytilidae
Source: RNAcentral
UCAUCUGAUAAAGUCAUGCCGAUUAUAAGAUACAAAGUUUUCUCUGCUAUCAAAGUCUUUCUGUUUGAACCCGUCGAACUGGAACUUAUCAAUUAUUGGUAAUAUUAAUUAUUUAGAAAGCAAAAGUUCCUGGAAUGGAAUAUUUUUUAAUCAACAGCAUUGUCCUUUAUUAGUUAUAAAUAAAGUUGAAUUCUUUGAUUCGCUGUUUUACGCCAUGCCCGCUAACAAAUUGAAAACUGUACCUAUACGCCUUAUUUUUAGUCACAGAUUUU